GUAUGAACGGCUAAAUGAGGACACCACUGUCUCCUUCGACCAAUCAAUGAACCUGAUCUUCUAGUACAAAAGCUAGAAUAUACCCAUAAGACGAGAAGACCCUGUGGAGCUUAAAACACUGCUCUCAGCCUGCACCCAACCCAACACAGGACCACACCACCAACAUGAGCGCAUAUUUUCAGUUGGGGCGACUGCGGAACCAAGCCCAACUUCCACGACACGGACCACUCCCUCCAUCAAAGGUUAACAAACCAACGCACAUCUUGAUCCAGUAAUACUGACCAACGAACCAAGUUACCCCAGGGAUAACAGCGCCAUCCUCUUCAAGAGCCCAUAUCGCCAAGAGGGUUUACGACCUCGAUGUUGGAUCAGGACCCCCAGGUGGUGCAACCGCUACCAAAGGUUCGUUUG
RNAcentral lists this ribosomal RNA (411 nucleotides) under Sphaerodactylus richardsonii (Richardson's least gecko). Its description in RNAcentral is "partial 16S ribosomal RNA". It matches the Rfam family "Bacterial large subunit ribosomal RNA", at positions 1990 to 2579 of the family's 2925-position model. Lineage: Eukaryota; Metazoa; Chordata; Lepidosauria; Squamata; Sphaerodactylidae. The record is from RNAcentral.